Molecule: ribosomal RNA, 443 nt
Filed under: uncultured bacterium
Lineage: Bacteria
Description: partial 16S ribosomal RNA
Rfam family: Bacterial small subunit ribosomal RNA
Source: RNAcentral
CCUACGGGUGGCAGCAGUGGGGGAUAUUGGACAAUGGGGGAAACCCUGAUCCAGCGACGCCGCGUGAGUGAAGAAGUAUUUCGGUAUGUAAAGCUCUGUCAGCAGGGAAGAAAGAAAUGACGGUACCUGACCAAGAAGCCCCGGCUAACUACGUGCCAGCAGCCGCGGUAAUACGUAGGGGGCAAGCGUUAUCCGGAUUCACUGGGUGUAAAGGGAGCGUAGACGGCCAUGCAAGCCAGGGGUGAAAGCCCGGGGCCCAACCCCGGGACUGCCCUUGGAACUGCAUGGCUGGAGUGCGGGGGGGGCAGGCGGAAUUCCUGGUGUAGCGGUGAAAUGCGUAGAUAUCAGGAGGAACACCGGCGGCGAAGGCGGCCUGCUGGACUGCGACUGACGUUGAGGCUCGAAAGCGUGGGGAGCGAACAGGAUUAGAUACCCGGGUAGUC